RNAcentral lists this ribosomal RNA (486 nucleotides) under uncultured bacterium. RNAcentral's name for it is "partial 16S ribosomal RNA". It matches the Rfam family "Bacterial small subunit ribosomal RNA", at positions 30 to 507 of the family's 1533-position model. The record is from RNAcentral.
AUUGAACGCUGGCGGCAUGCCUUACACAUGCAAGUCGAACGGCAGCACGGGUGCUUGCACCUGGUGGCGAGUGGCGAACGGGUGAGUAAUACAUCGGAACAUGUCCUGUAGUGGGGGAUAGCCCGGCGAAAGCCGGAUUAAUACCGCAUACGAUCUACGGAUGAAAGCGGGGGACCUUCGGGCCUCGCGCUAUAGGGUUGGCCGAUGGCUGAUUAGCUAGUUGGUGGGGUAAAGGCCUACCAAGGCGACGAUCAGUAGCUGGUCUGAGAGGACGACCAGCCACACUGGGACUGAGACACGGCCCAGACUCCUACGGGAGGCAGCAGUGGGGAAUUUUGGACAAAGGGCGAAAGCCUGAUCCAGCAAUGCCGCGUGUGUGAAGAAGGCCUUCGGGUUGUAAAGCACUUUUGUCCGGAAAGAAAUCCUUGGCCCUAAUACGGCCGGGGGAUGACGGUACCGGAAGAAUAAGCACCGGCUAACUACGUG